GCAACAUUCAGACCGUCGGUCUACCGAGCAGUUUCACCCGCUUGAUGGAAGAUCUUCCCUUACGUUGU
This 68-nucleotide microRNA precursor is filed under the name Bombyx mori (domestic silkworm). RNAcentral's name for it is "mir-2774 microRNA precursor family". It matches the Rfam family "mir-2774 microRNA precursor family". The record is from Rfam by way of RNAcentral. Lineage: Eukaryota; Metazoa; Arthropoda; Insecta; Lepidoptera; Bombycidae.